This 22-nucleotide microRNA is filed under the name Eisenia fetida (common brandling worm). RNAcentral's name for it is "Efe-Mir-10-P2g_3p* (star (passenger))". The record is from RNAcentral. Lineage: Eukaryota; Metazoa; Annelida; Clitellata; Crassiclitellata; Lumbricidae.
CAAGUUCGUAGUAACGAGUCUC